Molecule: ribosomal RNA, 316 nt
Filed under: uncultured eukaryote
Lineage: Eukaryota
Description: partial large subunit ribosomal RNA
Rfam family: Eukaryotic large subunit ribosomal RNA
Source: RNAcentral
AUAUUAAUAAGCGGAGGAAAAGAAACUAACAAGGAUUCCCCUAGUAACGGCGAGUGAAGCGGGAAGAGCUCAUCUUUAAAAUCUGAGGGGCAUGCCUCUCCGAAUUGUAGUAUGUAGAAGCGUUUUCGGCAACGGCGCUGGCUCAAGUCUCCUGGAAAGGGGCAUCAGAGAGGGUGACAAUCCCGUCUUUGGCCAGUGCGUCUGAAGCCAUACGAUACGCUCUCAAAGAGUCGAGUUGUUUGGGAAUGCAGCUCUAAAUGGGUGGUAAAUUCCAUCUAAAGCUAAAUAUUGGCGAGAGACCGAUAGCGCACAAGUA